This 170-nucleotide non-coding RNA is filed under the name bacterium. Its description in RNAcentral is "6S RNA". It matches the Rfam family "6S / SsrS RNA". From Rfam's summary of the family: E. coli 6S RNA was the first non coding RNA to be sequenced, but its function was unknown until recently. It consists of 184 nucleotides that fold into an extended hairpin structure with a large single-stranded internal bulge. The record is from RNAcentral.
AAUUACCUAAGGAAGGCUAUUACAUAAAACCGACUAAUUGUGAUUAUUGGGAAUCUAAUUGGCUUGUUGUGUUGAAGACCUAGUCAUUGACUAGGGAUCCUAAUUCGAGUCAUGUGAUGCCCACCUCGUGAGAGCGGGCUUUUAUCACACUGGCUUUUCUUAGGCUUUUU